Molecule: ribosomal RNA, 429 nt
Filed under: Gemmatimonadota bacterium
Lineage: Bacteria; Pseudomonadati; Gemmatimonadota
Description: Gemmatimonadetes bacterium partial 16S ribosomal RNA
Rfam family: Bacterial small subunit ribosomal RNA
Source: RNAcentral
UAGGGAAUCUUCGGCAAUGGACGAAAGUCUGACCGAGCAACGCCGCGUGAGUGAAGAAGGUUUUCGGAUCGUAAAACUAUGUUGUUAGAGAAGAACAAGGAAGUUAGUAACUGAACGUAUCCUGACGGUAUCUAACCAGAAAGCCACGGCUAACUACGUGCCAGCAGCCGCGGUAAUACGUAGGUGGCAAGCGUUGUCCGGAUUUAUUGGGCGUAAAGCGAGCGCAGGCGGUUUCUUAAGUAUGAUGUGAAAGCCCCCGGCUCAACCGGGGAGGGUCAUUGGAAACUGGGAGACUUGAGUGCAGAAGAGGAGAGUGGAAUUCCAUGUGUAGCGGUGAAAUGCGUAGAUAUAUGGAGGAACACCAGUGGCGAAGGCGGCUCUCUGGUCUGUAACUGACGCUGAGGCUCGAAAGCGUGGGGAGCAAACAGG